Molecule: ribosomal RNA, 497 nt
Filed under: uncultured bacterium
Lineage: Bacteria
Description: partial 16S ribosomal RNA
Rfam family: Bacterial small subunit ribosomal RNA
Source: RNAcentral
GAUGAACGCUGGCGGCGUGCCUAAUACAUGCAAGUCGAGCGGACAGACGAGGAGCUUGCUCCUCUGACGUUAGCGGCGGACGGGUGAGUAACACGUGGAUAACCUACCUAUAAGACUGGGAUAACUUCGGGAAACCGGAGCUAAUACCGGAUAAUAUAUUGAACCGCAUGGUUCAAUAGUGAAAGACGGUUUUGCUGUCACUUAUAGAUGGAUCCGCGCCGCAUUAGCUAGUUGGUAAGGUAAAGGCUUACCACGGCAACGAGGCGUAGCCGACCUGAGAGGGUGAUCGGCCACACUGGAACUGAGACACGGUCCAGACUCCUACGGGAGGCAGCAGUAGGGAAUCUGCCGCAAAGGGCGGAAGCCUGACGGAGCAACGCCGCGUGAGUGAUGAAGGUCUUCGGAUCGUAAAACUCUGUUAUUAGUGAAGAACAAAUGUGUAAGGAACUAUACACGUCUUGACGGUACCUAAUCAGAAAGCCACGGCUAACUACGUG